GCCUGCUGUAAAAGCCUAGCAGGAACCAUCACACAACUAAGCCAGGAUGGUGAAGCACCAGCGCCCCCUGUCUGUAGCCAGCCUUGGGGGGGCAACCGAUGUCCGGAGUCCUUACCGCAUAGCAUUGCUACCCUGGAAUUCUGAGUGAAAGGAUUUUGCACAUUCUGAAGCCAUGCUGGAUUGCAAAGUGAAAAUUUGACAACAGUUUACUACAGCUCUGAGACAACUGAAGCAAAAUCAGGUGUGUUCGCCCGGUAGAUCAUAUUCAAAGCCAGCAGUGUGUGCCUCCAGGCUGUAGCCCUUUUCAGGCCCCUCAGAAUUUAGGGAUAAUGGUGUGUACUUCAGGAG
Molecule: long non-coding RNA, 348 nt
Filed under: Fukomys damarensis (Damara mole-rat)
Lineage: Eukaryota; Metazoa; Chordata; Mammalia; Rodentia; Bathyergidae
Description: lncRNA (ENSFDAG00000027883.1)
Source: RNAcentral